AACGAACGCUGGCGGCAUGCCUAACACAUGCAAGUCGAACGAAGUCUUCGGACUUAGUGGCGCACGGGUGCGUAACGCGUGGGAAUCUGCCCUUGGGUGCGGAAUAACUUCUCGAAAGGGAUGCUAAUACCGCAUAAUGUCGUAAGACCAAAGAUUUAUCGCUCAAGGAUGAGCCCGCGUAAGAUUAGCUAGUUGGUGGGGUAAAAGCCUACCAAGGCGACGAUCUUUAGCUGGUCUGAGAGGAUGAUCAGCCACACUGGGACUGAGACACGGCCCAGACUCCUACGGGAGGCAGCAGUGGGGAAUAUUGGACAAUGGGCGAAAGCCUGAUCCAGCAAUGCCGCGUGAGUGAUGAAGGCCCUAGGGUUGUAAAGCUCUUUUGCCAGGGAAGAUGAUGACUGUACCUGGAGAAUAAGCCCCGGCUAACUUCGUGCCAGCAGCCG
This 443-nucleotide ribosomal RNA is filed under the name uncultured bacterium. RNAcentral describes it as "bacterial SSU rRNA". It matches the Rfam family "Bacterial small subunit ribosomal RNA", at positions 29 to 517 of the family's 1533-position model. The record is from RNAcentral.